AUUGAACGCUGGCGGCAUGCUUUACACAUGCAAGUCGGACGGCAGCGGGGUAGUGCUUGCACUACUGCCGGCGAGUGGCGAACGGGUGAGUAAUAUAUUGGAACGUACCGAGUAAUGGGGGAUAACCAAUCGAAAGAUUGGCUAAUACCGCAUACGCUCUGAGGAGGAAAGCAGGGGACCUUCGGGCCUUGCGUUAUUCGAGCGGCCAAUAUCUGAUUAGCUAGUUGGUGGGGUAAGGGCCUACCAAGGCGACGAUCAGUAGCGGGUCUGAGAGGAUGAUCCGCCACACGGGGACUGAGACACGGCCCAGACCCCUAGGGGAGGCAGGGGGGGGGAAUUUUGGAAAAGGGGCGGAAGCCUGAUCCCGCCAUGCCGGGUGUCUGAAGAAGGCCUUGGGGUUGUAAAGGAUUUUUGUUAGGAAAAAAAAAGGGGCGGUUAAUACCCGUUUCUGCGGACGGUCCCUAAAAAAAAAGCACCGGCUAACUACGU
Molecule: ribosomal RNA, 489 nt
Filed under: uncultured bacterium
Lineage: Bacteria
Description: partial 16S ribosomal RNA
Rfam family: Bacterial small subunit ribosomal RNA
Source: RNAcentral